AGAACAGGGAGCAGGGAGCAGGGAACAGGGAGCACAGCUGGCUGGGCUGUUCCGGUGUUCCAGCCUUGCUUCCCAUCCAUCCCUUCACCGCCUCAGCCCAGCGCUCCCCCCACGCCUGCCUCCCGCCUUCCACCAGGCACAGUCAGAAAACUUUAUUUACAGUAUUUGUUAACAAUAACAACCCCGCGAGCAUGCCCCGUGCGCUAUAGAGCAAGCGGGUGGCGCUGGGGCCGUGCGACACUUGGUGGAUCUGCGGCGAGCCCGGAGCCGAGCCCGGCCUUGGGGACACGAGGGAGUGUCCCUGCGAGAGCCCGGGGAGCAGCCCGGACCCCGCACAGCCCACGGGCACCGCCCGAUCCCCGGCCCCAGCCGUGCUCAGGGGACCGUCUGCACCCCCUGGGCAGGGUGCGGGGCUGGCACGCUGCAGGGCUGGCACGCUGCGGGCUGCGGGCACACUGCAGGGCUGCAGGGCUGCGGGGCUGGCACUGUGCAGGGCUGCAAGGCUCUAGGGCUGGCACGGUGCAGAGUUGGCACAGCGCAGAGUUGGCACAGUGCAGAGCUGCAGGGCUGCAGGGCUGGCACAGGGUGCAGGGCUGGCACCGUGCAGAGCUGCAGAGCUGCAGGGCUGGCACAGUGAGGGGCUGCCAUGGUGCAGGGCUGCCUGUGCCCCGCAGGCUGCAGGCGAAGGCAGCGCUCCUGUGCAGAGAGCGCGGUGCCAGGCGGUGCCAGGCGCUGAAACCCUGCGGGGUCCCGCUGCAGGAGGAGCUGGGACAGUGCCAGCCGCGUACCCGGGUGACACCCAUCUCCCAGUGCCGCAGCACCCCUUCCAUCCCGCAGGGGUGCACCGCACCCGCCCCAGCAGCACCGCAUGGUGUGUCCCUCCCGGUGACAUCCACGAGCCGCUGCUGCCGGGGUUUGGGGCUCAGGAGCGGGUUCCUGCUGUCCGACCCAGGCAGCACCGAAACCUGGGCACGGAAUUCCUGCCGCGCUCCCGUCUCGGUUAAAUAA
This 1008-nucleotide long non-coding RNA is filed under the name Ficedula albicollis (Collared flycatcher). RNAcentral describes it as "lncRNA (ENSFALG00000024527.1)". The record is from RNAcentral. Lineage: Eukaryota; Metazoa; Chordata; Aves; Passeriformes; Muscicapidae.